Long non-coding RNA from Hemicordylus capensis (graceful crag lizard), 567 nucleotides. RefSeq lists it as uncharacterized. Lineage: Eukaryota; Metazoa; Chordata; Lepidosauria; Squamata; Cordylidae. The transcript has 2 exons. The record is from RefSeq and is a predicted model, not a curated record.
GGCAUGUGCAGCGGCCUCCAAAUGGCUGCCGCCACUGCAGAAAGGCCUGAAACAGGUCAGGGGAGGCCAGCAGGGGGACAUCAGGAGGCCCACCAUGUCCACAGCAGCACCCCCUGAAGCCCCACAAUGGUGGAUCUCACAAGACGUGAUGUUCAUUUUGGAGAAAAGGUGACUCUGCAGCAUCCCCCCUGACAUCACCAUGGAGACCUUCAUUGAGAACUCCCACUUGUAACCUUUAUUCCAACAUCGGUUUGUUUUGUCUCCUAGCUACCCAUCCUCUCCCUCUGUGUGUGUGUGUGUGAAGGUUUGCCUGUGUAUGCCAAGGCAAUCUUUUCUCUAAUCUAUGCAUCUCCCUUGUGAAUGCUCCGUUGAAGGAAUCAUCUCUCACACCUUUGACUCCUUUCACUACUAACUGACAGUGUGCUUUCCAGCUCACAACGACUACUACGUUUCCACAUAUGCUUCAAACUUAAAAGUCUGUCAGUCUGUAGCAUCUUAAUAACAAUGCAGUGAACAGUAGAAGCAAGCAUGGAUUAGCCAAGAAUAAAUCUUGCCAGACUAAUAUUA